Molecule: non-coding RNA, 361 nt
Organism: Cucurbita pepo subsp. pepo (vegetable marrow)
Lineage: Eukaryota; Viridiplantae; Streptophyta; Magnoliopsida; Cucurbitales; Cucurbitaceae
Source: RefSeq, a predicted model, not a curated record
AAACCCAAAUAAAAGAAGACAAAAUCAAAGAAGAUCAAGAUGUCUGAAUGUCCUUCAGGAAAAAACCAAUGGCCAGAGCUUGUUUUUGUGGAGUUUUCUACUGCGGCUUUGAUUAUAGAGAAGGAGAAUCCUAAUGUGAAAGCACAUGAGAUUCUAGCUGGAAGUCCGAGAAUUUUGAACUUCGAUUGUUCACGAGUUUGGGUUGAUGUCAAUAUUAAUGGCGUUGUUGUUUUAGUUCCUCGGGUUGGUUAAGGAUUGAGAUGACUAUGUACGUGUAAGUUAUAUGUAUGAAUUUAUGCAUACAUAUAAUGUAUUUGAAGGUAAUAAUAAGGUAGUAUCCUCCUACCACUUUAAUUUCAAU